UUUAAGUGCAAUCAUGAGCUUUCACGCCCAACUUUAAUCAUCUGUUUUAUUUGAACUUUUUAUAAAUAGUAUUUUUAUUGUUAUGAGAUUAUAAAAUUUAAAUAAGACGGAUGAUUAAAGUUAGACACGAAAACUUAUGACUACACUUACA
This is a microRNA precursor of Oryza sativa Indica Group (long-grained rice), 151 nucleotides long. It matches the Rfam family "MIR812 microRNA precursor family". The record is from Rfam. Lineage: Eukaryota; Viridiplantae; Streptophyta; Magnoliopsida; Poales; Poaceae.